RNAcentral lists this long non-coding RNA (381 nucleotides) under Ursus americanus (American black bear). RNAcentral's name for it is "lncRNA (ENSUAMG00000025837.1)". The record is from RNAcentral. Lineage: Eukaryota; Metazoa; Chordata; Mammalia; Carnivora; Ursidae.
CAGACCCGCCUGUGGCCGCAGCUGUGGUGUCCCAUUUUAAUGACUGCCCAGAUUCCCACAGUCAGUUCUGCUUCCAUGGAACCUGCAGGUUUUUGGUGCAGGAAGACAAGCCAGCGUGCGUCUGCCAUUCUGGGUACGUGGGCGCGCGCUGUGAGCAUGCCGACCUCCUGGCCGUGGUGGCUGCCAGCCAGAAGAAGCAGGCCAUCACCGCCUUGGUGGUGGUCUCCAUCGUGGCCCUGGCUGUCCUCAUCAUCGCGUGUGUGCUGAUACACUGCUGCCAGGUCCGAAAACACUGUGAGUGGUGCCAGGCUCUCAUCUGCCGGCACGAGAAGCCCAGUGCCCUGCUGAAGGGAAGGACCGCUUGCUGCCACUCAGAAACAG